RNAcentral lists this ribosomal RNA (140 nucleotides) under uncultured eukaryote. Its description in RNAcentral is "partial small subunit ribosomal RNA". It matches the Rfam family "Eukaryotic small subunit ribosomal RNA", at positions 1297 to 1460 of the family's 1831-position model. The record is from RNAcentral.
GUUGGUGGAGUGAUUUGUCUGGUUUAUUCCGAUAACGAACGAGACCGCUUUCUGCUAAAUAGAUUGCUUCUGGCAACAGGAGUGAAUCUUCUUAGAGAGACUGCCCACGCAAGUGGGAGGAAGUUGGCGGCAAUAACAGG